AACGAACGCUGGCGGCAUGCCUAACACAUGCAAGUCGAACGAGAUCUUCGGGUCUAGUGGCGCACGGGUGCGUAGCGCGUGGGAAUCUGCCCUUUGGUUCGGAAUAACAGUUGGAAACGACUGCUAAUACCGGAUGAUGACGAAAGUCCAAAGAUUUAUCGCCAGAGGAUGAGCCCGCGUAGGAUUAGCUAGUUGGUGUGGUAAAGGCGCACCAAGGCGACGAUCCUUAGCUGGUCUGAGAGGAGGAUCAGCCACACUGGGACUGAGACACGGCCCAGACUCCUACGGGAGGCAGCAGUGGGGAAUAUUGGACAAUGGGCGAAAGCCUGAUCCAGCAAUGCCGCGUGAGUGAUGAAGGCCUUAGGGUUGUAAAGCUCUUUUACCCGGGAUGAUAAUGACAGUACCGGGAGAAUAAGCUCCGGCUAACUCCGUGCCAGCAGCCGCCGUAA
Molecule: ribosomal RNA, 449 nt
Filed under: uncultured bacterium
Lineage: Bacteria
Description: partial 16S ribosomal RNA
Rfam family: Bacterial small subunit ribosomal RNA
Source: RNAcentral